AUUGAACGCUGGCGGCAGGCCUAACACAUGCCAGUCGAGCGGAUGAAGGGAGCUUGCUCCUGGAUUCAGCGGCGGACGGGUGAGUAAUGCCUAGGAAUCUGCCUGGUAGUGGGGGAUAACGUCCGGAAACGGGCGCUAAUACCGCAUACGUCCUGAGGGAGAAAGUGGGGGAUCUUCGGACCUCACGCUAUCAGAUGAGCCUAGGUCGGAUUAGCUAGUUGGUGGGGUAAAGGCCUACCAAGGCGACGAUCCGUAACUGGUCUGAGAGGAUGAUCAGUCACACUGGAACUGAGACACGGUCCAGACUCCUACGGGAGGCAGCAGUGGGGAAUUUUGGACAAUGGGCGCAAGCCUGAUCCAGCCAUGCCGCGUGCAGGAUGAAGGCCUUCGGGUUGUAAACUGCUUUUGUACGGAACGAAAAGCCUUCUUUUAAUACAGGAGGGUCAUGACGGUACCGUAAGAGUAAGCACCGGCUAACUACGUG
RNAcentral lists this ribosomal RNA (484 nucleotides) under uncultured bacterium. RNAcentral describes it as "partial 16S ribosomal RNA". It matches the Rfam family "Bacterial small subunit ribosomal RNA", at positions 30 to 507 of the family's 1533-position model. The record is from RNAcentral.